Molecule: long non-coding RNA, 1839 nt
Organism: Homo sapiens (human)
Lineage: Eukaryota; Metazoa; Chordata; Mammalia; Primates; Hominidae
Gene: EPCAM-DT
Product: EPCAM divergent transcript
Source: Ensembl
GGGCAAUCAGCUCCCAGGGGAGCCCCAAGCGUCAACUCCCAGGAUUCCGUGAGUCAGGAGCUUGGCCAGGCUCAGCUGGGACACUCAUCUUUGCUUCACCUCAUGUCAGCUGCAGCAUCUUAGGAAUGCAAGACAGCCUCAUUCACAUCCGGCGGCGGGUGCUGGCUGUCCACUGGGUGCCUUCGCUCUUUUUCAAGUGGUUUCUCAUCCUCUGGGGUUUCACUGUCUCCAUGUGGCCUCCCUAGCAAGUUGCUUAGAUUUCUUUACGUGGAAACUGGCUUUCUAGAGGGUAAAAAUGGAAGCUGCAAGGACUCUUAUGGCCCAGAAGUCCCAGAACGUCACUUCUUCCACAAGUCAUAGGGCCAGCCAAGAUUCAAGGGGAAGGAAACAGACUCUGUCUCUUCAUAUUUCAAUGGGACAAAUUGUUGCAGCCACCUUUGGAAACAAUCUACUGCAAUACACUACAGCAGUGGACAUCUGGGCCCUUACCAGGUGCCAGACGCCGUACUAACAGCUUUAUACGGAUGAACUCAUUUAAUCCUCCCAAACUCCAUGAGGUUUUGCAGCCCUUGCCAUGAGUGGCCAGUUGCUGAUAGCAUUGCUGCUGCCUGUUGCUAUUCUGGGAUAGGAACUGAGGAUGUGCUGUGAUUACCCAGACCAGAAGGAAGCUCAGAAGGCACUGGUCCUCUCAGGUGGCACCCAGAUCCAGUGUGAGCCAUGGGGGAUGAAGGGUGGUUAAGUGAAAAGCUUUGGAGUGCUGACAGGUGGUCCCCCUGAUAUGCCAGGAAAUUACUUCCGGGCAAGAGAAACAAAGGAGAGUCCAUCUUCUAAUGUUACUGGCGCCAUACCAACAAGGUGUCAGCUAGAAACCUCUCUCUCUCUCUUGCAAAUUCUAGCCUGCAAAACCUGAGGACUGGCCUCAGGCUAGUCAGAAAUUUGCCUGAAAACAUCAUUCCUUGGGGUGGUGGGACUUCUGGGUAAGCCAGUGUGACUUGAAUUCUUGAUUUCUUAUACUCCCUUCUAACCAACCACCUGAAUGCUGAUCUCUACUAGCUGUCUGUGUGCCUUGCAUUUCAAUCAGCAGCCUUACAAAUGAUGAUGAGGAGAAGGAGGAGGAUGAGGACGAUAGCCAACAUUUACUGUUCUUUUGCUACUGUCCUAAGUACUUUACAAAUACCAGAUAAUUUUUUCUUCAUAACACUGUCAUUACUCCCAUUUUACAGAUGAAGAAAACAAAGCUUAAAUAGAUCACAUGAUUUGGUCAAGGUCACUCAUGUCACAGAGCCUGAAUCCAAAUCCAGUGAAGCCUCCAGAGCCUAGUUUCUACCCAUGACCCUGUGUUGCCUAUUGAUGGUACAGUGUAGGUUUUUUCCUUCUUCCUUUUUCUUUUUUUGAAAGUCUUUAUUGAAUUAUAAUUGGCAUACCAUUAACUGCAAAUAUUUGAAAAAUACAAUUUUAUGAGCUCUGACAUACAUACACCCAUAAAACCAUUGUUACAAUCAAGAUAAUGAAUAUGUCCGUCAUUCCCCAAAAGCUUCCCUGUGCCCCUUGGUAAUCCACCCCUCACUCCCCACCCCAUUCUGUUCCUAGGCAACCAAUCAUCUGUUUUCUGUCAGAUUAAUUUGCAUUUUCUAGAGUUUUAUAUAUGGAAGCAGACAGCAUGUACUCUUUUUUUGUCUGGCUUCUUUCACUCAGCAUAAUUAUUUUUAGGUUCAUCUAUAUUGGUGCACGUAUCAACAAUUCAUUCUUUUCUAUUCCUGAGUACUAUUCCAUUAUAUAGGUGUACUAAAUUUGUUUAUUCAACUCUUGAUGGACAUUGAGUUGUUUACAGUUUUUGGC